Molecule: long non-coding RNA, 670 nt
Organism: Lates calcarifer (barramundi perch)
Lineage: Eukaryota; Metazoa; Chordata; Actinopteri; Centropomidae
Exons: 3
Source: RefSeq, a predicted model, not a curated record
UACUAACUUUUAACUAAAAGAAAACCUUUCAGAUGCAAAAGGCUCUGAUUUUUUUGUGUUUUAAUAUCAUUGUUUCUGAUUUUGCCUUUCGUGAACCCAGUUCCUCUGAGUGGCGACCAAUCCACUUGGACAAAGAAGCCUCAGCAGUUAUGGAGUUGAAAAGGAGGCAGCCGACAACUGGCAACAAGAGGUGGAAAUAUUUGGACGUUAGUGGCCAGAAAAUCCUGUUUGAUGCUGUCACUAAACUGCACCAACACCUGCUGGUUCUGUGUUAAGGUUAAAACCAACAAGGUGACAAGAGUUAAAGAGGAUCUGGUGCUGUUUGGCGUGGCGGAGCUUCACCGACACAAGUCUCUGGAACAAAGAUAGUCUUCAGACCGAGGAGGCCUCUGGGAAAUCUGAAGAGUUGUGACGGCAGCAGAGAGGUCACGCAAAACACACAUAAAACACGCACACACAACCAGAUACAAAUACAUAUUGUAUGUAUCAUACUGUAUGUUCUUUGUUAGCGGACAUGAUUUUCUAAACCACAAACUCCGGCUCUAAAUGUCCUCUGGGUCAGUUAAACUAGAACUAACAGCAGCUUUGAACAGCGAACAUUUUGAUGUUGAACAGAUGUUGAGUCAUCUGCCUGCACUAAAAAAAGACCCCGGAUCACCAACCACUACGA